CAGAAUUCUCAUUUGAUAUUUGCCUUGGAGUUGAAGCAGGGGAAUUGGCUGGGGCAUUGCGUGAUUGGGGUGGUUCAGAGAUAGAUACUGAUGGAUCUACAGGAGGUUGUAAAGCUGGAGCUGGUGCUAAUUCAGGUGAAGGUGAAGGUGAAGGUGAAGGUGCAGGAGUCAAAAAGAUACUGGAGGGGGAUUCUGAAGGAGACAACGAUGAAGGUGAAGGUGACAUUGAAGGUGAAAAUGAGGAUUCUGAUGGCGAAGGUGAUGGUGACAGUUGGGAAAUUCUUUCAUUGGCUGUCUUAGAGGGUACAAGCACCUGCUGCAGCCGCCUCCCAUAAGCUAUAUCUCCUGGCUGGGCAAUGUUCCUAACAAUGAGAAGACAUCAUGAAGCAAGUAGUUAAUACUCUAUAUAACAAACUUUACAGCAUAAACCAAAAACUUCCUCAGUAUAGAAGGAUGUGAGAGCUUGCUAUAACUUCUCAAUUGGAACCACUAAAGUUAUAUAGUAAGUAACAUAGGGAGACACAUCCUAUAAGCGUCAGAACUCUGGGCUUCUUUCUCUGCAUAUGGUUCCUUGAGCUUUCUGCUCAGCUUUUUUCUUUCUUUUUUGGCCCAUGGCUGACAGAAUGAGGCAAGUCUAGAAUUUUUAUAUGGACAACUUCUUUUUCUUCUUAAGAUGGAUGCAUCAAAAAAGAACUCAAAGGAAGUUGAUAUAUUGCAUCAACUUUAAUUGCUUACCAGGGGAAACCACUGCUUUUACAAGAUGGUAUAGUAGCAGCAUCAGUUAGCCGAUUCUCAUCUACUUGAAAUUCAGAAAGCAUCUUAACAUCGUAUAUUUCAGGUGCUAGAUUUCCAAGAAACUCAUUGUUGUCAAGUAAACUGCAUUAAGAAGAAAUUCGAAUAAAAUAAGGUAAGGGACUAAAUAGCAGCUAGAAAUAAAAUAAAAACCGAAAUAUAAACAACUUGAAAAGAGGAUCAUACAGUGUUGUCAAGGAGAGAUUGUUGCCAAAAUCAGAUGGAAAUGGUCCACUAAAGUUAUUGAAUCCUAAAUCCAACACCUCCAGCUCCUUCAAUUCCCCAAUUUCUUGAGGAAUGCUUCCAGAGAAAGAGUUGUUGCGCAAUAUACUGCAGCAGUAUAUAAAGCAGAACUAAGAGAAAGAGUGACAUAAAGGAGAUUUGUCUAAUUAUAGACCAAGGAUGAUAAACUUACAUAGAUUUUAAAUUCUCCAGCUUCCCAAAUUCAGGUCCCAGGUUCCCAACAAGGCAAAGAUCUUUCAAAUUUCUGCAAGAAGCAUAGCUCUGAAUUCAGGGUUACCAUCUAAUUAACUAUACAGUGAAAAACAUGGCACAUCUACAGGCAAAAGCCACAGGGUAGAGAGCCAGUUAACAUCAACAAAAUCUAAAAUAAGAACAUUACAUGUAGCAUUAAAACUUGGUUGUCUUAUUUUUGUCAAGUUUUAUUUAUGUCAAAUUCAAUUCUUCAUAAACAACUUAAACAUCAAACAACAUCCAAAACAGGUCCAUAUCCCUUUAGAGAAAAAUCACUUUGAGAAAACAAAAAGAGCCUUUUUUAGUAUCAAGAGCCAAAAGUAGAAAUUGACUCUGCAGUUUUCAACCCGUAAAAAUUAUUAAGAAAAGAAUAGAACCUAACAUGAUCAGCUAUCUACCAUAUGCAAAGGGGAUUCCAAAUAUUUUCAUAUACUUCAACAAUCUCCCUGUAAAACAAAUUAAAAAGAACGCAAUAAAAUGUGCAAAAAGAGACAAAACUCACAAAAUUACAACUUUUUCAUCAGAGCAUUCGACCCCGAACCAAGAACACGGAUCAAUCUCUCCAUCAAUUUCCUUCCAGUUCGAUAAAGCACCAAAAGGGUCACUCACCACUCUCUGUUUGAACCUCAACAAAGCCAAACCUGCACCAUUUUUUUGCCACACAGGCAAAUAAUUUCUUGUAAGAACAUAUAUAAUAUACAAAGAAACUCUUGUUGAGGCCUGAAUAAAUACCUUCACGGUUCAAAGGCGAGGAGAAGCUCAUAUUCUGCUCAAACAAUGAUAAAACCAGCAUUAACAGCAUGACCACCAUCAUCCUGAGCUUCAACCGCUCGAAUCCCCAGAGCCCAUACAUGUCCAAAAGAAGAAGAAUUUUUUCUAGCUUUUCUCUAUCAACCUUUGAGAACAAUGUCAAAAAGAGUCGAAAAUGUAUUAAUAGAAUAAACACAAAAGAAAAUGUAAGAGAGCUUCUUGGAGGCUGCUAAAUGCCAUAGGCAGCUAAGUGCUAGCAAAUUUAGACAAUACGAGAAGAAAGCGCGUGUGGUAGCGGCGCCACUGCCGGUGAUCAUUUACUUUUUUUUAUUAAAAAGGAAACCUUUUCGCAAGUUAAAGUCGACAUUAGAUAAUUAAAGGGGGAGAAGAGAAGGCCAAGAUACAAGACAGAACUUACGGUUUUAACAAAUAGAGAAAGAGCAAAUCAAGAAUGUAAUAUUGGGUUUCGGUCUGAAUCUGAGUUUGGUCUUCGUCGUCGAUCAGCUGUCGCUGGUGUUCUCAUUUUGUCGACUUGUUGGUGGACUCACUCUCUCCAUUCUUUCCUCUAUUUAUAGCGCCGCCCUAUGAAAUCUCCCCCCACGUGCUUCUCACAUGCUGAAUAUUCUUCCUUUCAUUAAAUUUUAAGGGUUAAUUUCAUCAAAUUCCUCAAACUAUCACUUAAAUUUUAAAUUAGUCCCCAUAUAUUCUAAUUAAGUUAUCAAAUAUAAUAUUGCACCAAUUAGGUUCUUUGGUCAGCCUAGCUGUUAAUUUUUGUGUUAGUUCAUACAUGAAAUGGUGUACAUAGCACGUGAAUCAAAUUGUAAACAUAUAUGUAUUUAUCGCAUAGACACCUUAGAUAUGACGUGUUAAAAAUAAUCUCUUAAAUUUUAUAGGCAAUGUUUAUUUUCUACAUGUCAAAUCUAAGUCAUCCAUAUGACAAAUACAUAUGUAUUUACAAUUUGAUUCACGUAUUUUAAAUAUGCUACACGUAAGACUUGAUUGAUAUGAUACCGAUACCUUAAGAACCCAUAUAAAAUGUUUCAAAGUGACCAAUUUAAAAUUUAAGACAUAAUUUGAGAAUCUUUGAUACAAUUGCCCCAAAUUUUAAUUUUUCUGAAAAAUAAAACUUACUGAAACAUUUUUGAAUAUUACAAGAGCAGGCUGGCAGAAGAAUAUUGUAGUUUUUUUUUUUUUUUUCUCUAAAUCCGACAACUCAACUCUGGCAUGAAUCCAGUGGCUUGUGUUACAUCCGCACAUAUGAGGUUCGUUUACUUCAUAUGUAGUGGCAUGGCAUAGAUAUGGUUUGCUUUUUUCUUUUCCUAUGAUUGAACAAUAACUAUGACUUUAUCAAUCAUAAAAUGUGUACAAGAGUAAUAUUUCAAUUUAUCGAUAUUGUAUAUAACAGUUAUACACUAUAGUUUCUUUCAUUAACGAAAUGAAUAAAAACUUCAGUUUUAGUGUAUAAUCCGAAAUGAUAAAGAUAUUCUUAAUUUUAAUUAGUAAUCGAAAGAUUAAAUUCGAGCUUUAAUCUAAAAUACAAUGGUUUUGAGACAACCAAAUAAUCCUUAAAUUAAUCUAAGAAUCAGCCGUCAUUUGUUUUUCUUACCAUAUAUAACAUUAAUUUAUGCCACAUGCCUUUCACUUGUAAGUCGGCUAUACGAGAAAGGUCCCAACAUAAACAAUACAAACUCAUUCGCAUGUUAUUUCUUGCCGUUUUCUGACCAAGUUUUUUGGUGUCUGAAUUUUUAAAAAAGAAAAUUUCAAAACCUGAAUAUUUCUUUUUGGUUUUUUGUUGGAAACUUCAACGUGGCUGUCAGCUAUUGAAAUGUUCAUUUUCAUCACAAUCCAAAAAAGAAAACACCAGUUCAAUUCUGCCUGCAAAGGACAAGGACAAGCCAUUAAUUACAAUAUAUCAGGAUCAAUAAUUCAACAAAAGUUUGCUCAAAUAUUACAAGGUGGUGGGUCACCAAAUAAUAAUAUAUAGUGUGUAUACUAUUUUACACCCUGCUUUGUAUUGUGUAUAUGUUGCCAGGUAGAUCAAAUAAAGCAAUCAACUCAUAAAGUAGAUAAACAGGAGUAAACAGUAAGAUACCUAGAUAUUUACAUUUAUUUAAUUCUACUUGAUGGAGUUGUGAUUGGAGUAUGGAGAACAUGGCUUUGAAGGUAAGUUCCAAAGGUUGGGAAAGUGGUAUAACUUUUAUAUUAGUAUAUAUGGAAAGAUGAGAGACAGAAAAAGAUGUCUAAGCUUCUAUGAAUAUGAUUUGAAGGCUCAGUGUUACUUUGUAAUUCUUUUUUUCUCUCAAAAAAAAGGUCAGAUGUGCUUGUGCUUAUAGUGGGCAUACCCUUUACGUGAAGUAAAAUGUUGGACAAGUACAAGAUUCAAUAAUUUAGGUGAUUAGGAAAUAUGAUAAGAAGCCAUUUGGAGCACUCGCUGUGGGUGACGCUUAAAUGUGCCAGAAAAAUCGACAGUUCACCCGUACAAAAGCCAAGAAUAAUGGGUCUGUUUUUUUAACUUAUGGUUACAAGUGGAGGGGCUGAGUGACUGGACGCAUGACCGGAUCAUCAUCACACUGAGACUAACCAGGAGGGUUGCAAAGACUUGUGGGCGUCGUCGGGUUGGAGUCAUGGCCUGAAAUGGGCUCCUUUUUGGUUACCUUCCAAAUGAGACAUGACAACCUCCCCUACCCCUACGCAAAGUGGUACGAUACAACCUUUUUCAAGCUAAUAGAUUAAAUUACUAGGCAAAUCUAAAUUAGGUUAAAACACCUCUUCAGUCCCUCUCAAUUUUAAUAUUGACUAAAUUAGUCUUUCUAAAAAAUCGUAACAAUUUAAUCCUUGUCAAUUUUGAAAGUCAGCAAUUUAGGACAAUUAAUCAUAAUGUUAAUGAUUUCCAUCAAUUGUACAUAAUUUUAAUUGGUAUAAUAACAAAUUUAGCUCUUAAAAUUUACACAUUCUAUCAAUUUGGUCUUAAUUUAGCAAAUUUAGCUUACGACAUUUUGUUUAAAUGUGUAAAUGUUGAGGCUAAAUUUGUUGAAUUUUUUUAGAACGAAAGCCAAAUUGACAAAAUAUGUAAUCAUCGAGAGCUAAAUCUGUUAUUAUACCAAUCAAAAUUAUGCACAAUUGACGAAAGACAUUAACUUUGUAAUUAAUUGUCCUUAGUUGCUCACUUUCAAGUUGACGGAGAUUAAAUUACUUUGAUUUUUUAGAGGGACUAAUUUGCUUAAUUUCAAAAUUGAAAGGGGUUGGAGAGUUUUUUUACCUCUAAAUUACACACAUAAAUGAGGAAUUUAAUUUUGAAACAAAGAUGUAAGAAUAACUAUAAACAAUGACUAUUAACAUUUUCUUAAUGAGAAGAUGAGGCGGAGAUUGUUUUGGGGUUUGUGAGGACUUUUGGCCUACAAGAGAAAAGAAUAAUUAUGGGGCAAUGCAUUGAAGCUUUUGGUCUAAUAUGUUUUCCGUUAGUUAAGUCAAUAAACAAAAAUGUGAUGAGGAUAGAAGGAAUGUUUUAGUAGAGUAUCGGCGGUGACGAUGAUGAUGAUCAUACCGGCAACGAUGAAAAUUCCCAAUAUUUAUCUUGAUGGACCCUUGUAACUAGACUUGAUUAUAGGUUAGGUUUGAGUUGUGUCGGAAUAAAAUUUUAAAGGCUUGUUUUUUAAGUUUUUGCCUAAGUUCAAUUUGAAUUUAAAAUGCUAAACUCAAGUUUAAUUUUUAGAUUAUUUUUUAUAUAAUAAAUUAUGUUGACACCAUUUUUUUUUAUAAAACGGGGUCGACUUGAAUUUUGAAAACAAAAACGAAAGUGGGAGUUGCCACUAAUCCUUUUUGAUAAGGUGUGUCAGGUCACCUUGAAAAGUAGUUGUUUUUAAUAAACAAUUUAAUUUUAUUAAAACAACGAUUUUGGUCCACGAAAUUAAAAAAAACGGGUUCGGAAGUCGGUUAUGUACGAGGAAGAAUGAGUACACUCGUAACGCCCAAAAUUGGUACCUAGUUGAUUAAUUAAUGUUUUAGUGUCGAAGAUUGAAAACUUUAAAGAGAUUUAAAAUACAAUCCAUUAUUGAAAUGUUGAAAAUUUUCGGGAAAAUGGCAUAUUUCACGUUAAUCGAGAAAGAGAAGUAUAUCCAGUAAGUUAGGACACAAUGUCUUAAAUUCCCGAUGCGCAAAUGAAUGCCAAAAAUUUACUCAUUUAGAAGAUUUUUAACUAUCUCGGAUUUAAAAACAGGGAUCAUGCCCAGUAAGUUAGGACACGAUCUUUUCUUAAUUCCUGAGAUCAUUUAAAACUUGAGAAAAAAAUGGAUCAUGCCCAAUAAGUUAGGACACGAUCUCUUCUUAAUUCCCGAAAUCAUUUAAACUUGAGUUUGAAAAGAUUCGUGUAUUUAGAUUUAUUGAGAAGAUCGAAACCCAGUAAGUCAGGGUACGAUCUUCUCGAAUCUAAAUACGAGAUUUUUCUUGUUUUAAAAUCAUGAUUCAUGCGUCGAAUUAAUCUAACUCGAAAUGGUAGAAAUGAAACUCAAUGUUAAUAUGCGUACAGAACACUAUUGAACAUGAUGGUAUAAAAAUAAUACGAGCGAGAGCAACAAAAAUAUGAUAAAUAAAAAGGACAAUUCAAUAACAUACAAAAUAACAAGUAUAUAAGCAAAUAAUAUUAAAACAUUUUAAAAUAAUGAUGAAAACAUAAAUAGAUAAAAUUAUAAAGAAUGUAAGAAGAUAUAUAUGUAAGUACACAUCAAAGUUUGAAAAUAAUAAAAAUAUAAGUAAGCAAAUAAUGAUAAUUUAUAUAUAUUAAAAAAUAUGUCAAAAAGUAUGUACGUAUAUAUAUAUUUUAAAAUUAUAAAACCUAAAAAAUAUAUAUGUAUUUAAAAAGAAAUGUAUAUAUGUACAUAAAAAUUAUAAAAUAUAAAAAAUAUAUAUGAGUAUGUAUAUACAUUCGUGAAAAUAGAAAGAUUUAUAUAGAAAAAAAUAUAUGAGUACGUAUGUAUAUAUAUAUGAAAAUAAAAAAUGUAUAUAGAUUAUAGAAUAUAAAAAUAUAUAUAAGUAUGUAUAUAUAUAAAUUGAGAAAAAUAUGUACGUGUAUUAUAAAAAUGUAUGCAUGUAUAUAUGUAUAUAACAAAGUUUGGAAUUAAAAAAGUAUAAAUGAAUAAAUAAUAAUAAUAAAUAAUAAUAUAAUAAUAUUAAUAGUAUUAAAUAAUUAAUUUUAAUAGAAAAAUAACUAAAGUAGCAGAUUGAGGAUUAAAUUGAAAAUAAACGGAGUUUUAGGGCUGGAUUCAAAAAUAAAAAACACAAGGGGACUGAUUUAUAACGCCCGCGAAGUUCGGAGGAUUGAUUUGGAAAAUAUCCCAAGCCCUGCGCAUAGCAUUUUGACGCGGACUGAAAUAAAACAAAAAUAAAACUAUGCAGCCAAAUUAAAAUAAAAGAAAAGAAAGAAAAAAGGGCUAAAUUGCAAAGCAUUGCAAAAGUGGAGGGACUGCGCGCGAAAAUAUCCCUUUUUAAGAAAACACGUGAAUCCUCCCCUCAGAGUCGGGUCACCACAUGGGUCAGGGCCAAAACGGCGUUGUUUUGGCACCUGACCCUUAAUGUCAAAACGGUGUCGUUUCAUAUGUUUAUAAAAGUUAAAUUUUUUUUUGAAAAAUUUCAUUUCUCCCUGCUUCUUUAAAAAAAAAAAGCUUAUGGUUCUUUCAAACCUCUCCCUCUCCUCUGGCCAGAACCCAGAAACCGGUGAAUAGGGCCGCCGUUGUGCCGUCGCCACGCACGGCGUUCGGACUCCGGGUAAGUUUGUUUCCCUCUUUUUUUUAUACAUUCGACGUAUGUAUAUACAUUGCUUUUCUUUUUAAACUAAAAAAAAAAGAAAGAAAAAAAAACUUCGUAAAAAUAAAGAGAAAGUAAGAAACCUUUUCGUUUUUUUUUCUACUGGGUUUUUUUGCUGUUCUUAACCUUGAAACUUUUUUGUAUUAUUUCUUUUUUUGAGAGAAAACAACAAAAACCGAGAGCCUUUUUUACAAUAUUUUUCCCGCCUUACAUCGUUUUGUUUCUAGGCUUAUAAAGACGAAAUACAAAAAUAUUCCUUUUAUUUUUCGCUGUUUUAAAACUUCUGUUACGCUGCCUCUCUUGUCUUUCGUCUCUUGGUUGCUGUUUUCUGUUUCUUUUUCCAUGUUUGUUGCAGGUCUUGACGAGGCAAGUCAGAGGAACAGACCCUGACCCUUGCCAUUUUGGUGCAACUGGAGGCCGCCUCGGGUGGUGAGCGCGCUGACAGCAGCACAUGGAGGCAGCGGCGCCUUAGGGUUUCAGUUCCUGCUAAAACCAGUUAAGGUUUCGGGUUGUUUGGGCCAUUAGUUUUUUCUUUAGAAUUGGGCUACAAAAAUUUUGGGUUUUGGGCCGGGCAAAAUGGGCUUGUACACAUUAAAUACACUAAAAAUAUUAAAAUAAAUAUUUCUCAAUAAAUUAAAAAUAUAUUAAAAAAUUUUAUACUUAAAUAACAUUAAGAUAGUUAGAGUUUAACAAGUAAAUGUCUUUAAAAUAGUAAUAAAAUCAACAAUAAAAUAAGAAUUAUAUAAUAUCCAAAUAAUAACAAAAAAAUAGUAACAAUAUAAUAGUAAAAUGGUAGCAAAAUAAUAACAAAACAUCAACAAAACAAUAGCAAAAUAGUAACAGAACAACAAGAGAAAAAAGUUCAGGCUUAUUUAAGUUGGGUCAGGCCAGGACUAAAAAAUUCUAUCCGAAACCCAACUAAUUUAAAAAACGAGUCUUAUUUUUUGCCCAAAUUCAUUUUUUUGGUUUAUAAUGUUAAUAUUUAUAAUUUCACCUAUUAAAAUACAAAAAAUAAAUUGUUGAUUUUUAAUUUAAGAAGAUUAAUUUACUCCCUAACUUAAAAAACAGGAUCUGCCAAAUAAUAACCUGUGAGAAUGAUAUGUUGAUGAGAUGACAUUCAGAUCCAUUGCUUGCUAAGUUUGGAGGUGCUCUUCGGCUUUCUGCUAUAAGUCCGAAUAACAUACUAAGAAUGGCCCGUGUCGUAACCUUGCCUUACAUUGCAGAUAUUGGGCUUUUCUCUUGGAUAGGAGGUAACCCAUAACACAAUGCUCAUAGUAUAUUUAUUUAUGGUCGGAUUAUCUGUCUAGAUUCGAAGGCUUGUCUGAAAUAUAAAAAAGUUUAAUAAAAAUAUUAGAGUCGAAAAAUAGACAUGGACAGGUUCAGGCCUGAACAUAAUUAUUUGUAAGUUUAUAAUACUUUAUAUUAUGUUAUUUUUAUAUAUUAUGUAAUUUAGAAUACAUUAAAAAAAUAAACCUAUACUAAAUGUAUAAUACUACUCCAAUGUAAAAAUUAAAAUAAUGUUAAGAUGAAUAUAUAAAAAUUUUCAAUAAUGUAUAAAAUUAUUAAAUAUUAAAAAAAUAUAAUUUAAAAUAAUAUGAGCGGGUUUAAAAUAGGAUUGAGUUAGUUUUUUACAAAUAUGAGUGAAUUUGAACAAAAUUUUAAACUCAUAUUUCGGGUUGAGUCAAGCUUAAAUAAAUAUAAAGUAUAUUAAUAUUAUAUUUAAGCCCAAUCUAAACCUGAUCCUAUCGAUGAACACCUCUAACUUAUACUCAUCUUGUUAACUACUUGUCUUAAUUUCAAAACAUAAAUUCCAAGAUUACAAUUAAUUUAUAGCAAGAAAAGAGAGAGUAAGAAAUAUGUUCAAUAAACCUUUUAACAAAUUAAAUACUUUUUCUUUAUUAAGGUAAAGGUAUAAGGGAAGGGAUUGUCGAGAUUUAAAUCGGGAUUUAAUGUUAAUAGACCUAAGCAAUAUAAGUCCAUCAUUAAUUAAAAAUUUAAGGUUUAAGGGUGUAAAAAGUCUUCAAUUUUUUUUAAGAAAAGCAAUUAAAUUUUUUUUUUCGCACUCAAUUGAACACUUGAACUUUCAAAUGUAUCAAAAAGGCAUUGACAAGAAUUUAAGACCUUAACAAAAAGAAAAGUCAAACUUUGCUAUUAUACAAGUUGUAGAUUUAAUUUGGUCAAUUUUAGGAGAUGUGCUUUUUGUUAAAAUUUUGUUUUGUACUAUACAUAAAGUUCAUGUUCUCUAAUUGAAUCACUUUUAGUCCCUAUAUUUGUUGAAUUUCAAAAUUUCAAUCUUGUACACUAUUAAAUAACUUUGUUGUGACAAAUAUAUGGAAAUAGAAAGGUGACAUAUUAUUACACAUGUGAUAAUAUGUUUAUCGCAUUAGAUUUUAAAAAUAACACAAAUUAAUGAAUUUAACCGUUACCAAGAUCAAAACUUUUAAAUUAAAAAAUAUAGAAAAUUAAAAUUAUCAAAUUAAAAUAUUACCUAUUUUAACUAAAAAUAAAUGAUAAGCAGACUCCAAUAAGACAAAGAAAACCGACCUUUGCGAGUGAGGCGAACAAUUUCUUUAGAAUUAGAUUCAAGGGUGAUGGUAGCUCCUGCUUCAUGUUCCUAUUGGGAAGGGAUUUGUUGCUGAUGUGUGGGUUACUAGAUUAGAAUUUGAAGUCACUGUCAAUGUGUCCUCCAUCUCUAUAAUUACCAGCAUUAUUACCAUAUUUUAUUCUCUAAAUCAUUCAUUCAGAACCAAAAUCUCUUUCCAGAAAGGUUAUAAUAAUAAUAAUAAUAAUAAUUGGCUUGUUGUGAAUAUUAAUAGGAGUUUAUUUAGUGUUAAAAUAUUCUCUCAAAUAAUUAUCUGGCUAUCUCCAUGGCUGAUAUAAAUUCACAGCCUUUUCUCUGCAGGUAAGUUAGUAUAUACCAUAUGGUGCAAUAUUGAAUGGUUUAGCAGAUUGUGCAGUCUCAAAAGAUAUUCGGGUUUAAACUGAUCAUUGAAUUUUAUUCCCCAGCCUAUGGAAUUUAAUUUCAAUCUGUCGGUAACCAUGAACAUGGCAACUUUUAACAUACAUCUAUGAACUUUUUUCUAUUUUCUGUACUUAUCUGCACAAUGUUUAUAAAAUACUAGUGAUUAGUUUGUCACUACAAAAGAAUUGAGUACUGCACUACGUGAUGUAUACUAUGCAAGUGUUCUGAUUGUUACACUAUGUCCAGCUAGACACUCUGACAAGGGGAGCUCCCAUGUAACCCAACACCAUUUCAUUGUUAUUCUGUCCUUCUGUUUUCACCGAACAUGAACCCUCCGCUUGUCUCACCAGCUCCUCUGCGUCCAAAUAGUUUUCCCAGCUCAUCCUCCGAGGUUCCAAGCCGAGUUUCGUGAGGGAACACCCUGUACUGCAAGUUUCUUUCGAUUGUUGAGCAUUAACAAGGGAACAAAGAUGGGGUACCACAAACAAACAUUCCAUAGCUAUUCUUGCCUCUAGGAAUUGAAAUUGCUCCAUGGACUCAAGCAAGGCCUGGAAGUAGACCAGCUGUGCUUCGAAGAAUGAAUCGAAACUCUUAUCAUCUGUCCAUUUUUUGAUACCAAUUCCAUCUCCCAAAGUAAUGAUGCCUUUACUUGUAUCACUCCUAAGCAAUGCCUUUGCUGUUGUAAGAAAUUCCUCCACGUGCUUAACACUCCUCUGUUUUUCCAUGUGAGGUAACCCAACCAUACAAUUGAAUGCUAACCACUCGUUAUCCAUUUUAACCUUGCUCAUUAAACCUUCUAUAUCCAUCUCCUCUACCUCCAUUCUAAGCCCAACAGUCUUUGCAUGUUUACACAGCUGCUUCUUCGUCUCCUCGAAGCUAGUUGUAGCAUUGCAACUGCCAUCCUCUUCCUCCCAUUUUAUUGUGGUCAGCCGCAACGUUCUUAAUCCUUGCCUUCCAAGUGUUUCGAUCAAAGCAGGCCAUUGUAUGCCUUUACCAAUAUCGAAAUCCACAAUAUGUAGUACCGUAGCAUAGGCAGGGAUGGAUUCCAGUAUGGCCGAAUUGGCAGUGAAAUGAGCAAACCUACCAUAGGGGAAGAUCUGAUACAAGGCAUUGAAGGCUGCAUCGUAAUUUUUGCUUGCUUCUUGCAUUAAGUAGUUAGCUUGCUUGUCCAAUGAUAGUGUCAAAUAAAAUGCAAGUCGUUCGAUGCUUUUGCCGGUCGGAGAGGCCUUUUCGUUUAGUCUCCUAAUGAUUUCUUGUGCUAGCUCCAUCUGUUUGCUCCCCAUGGCAUCCCCACAAGCUUUCAAUAGAUGAAGAAUCGAUGUUUGGUUAUCAAUUUCCAUGCUUUCAUCAGGCAGAACCAAGUAAGCUUGAACCAGUGGGAUGACAUCCAUGGAAACUUCACCCGACGUUGGUGAGAGAUUCUGGCAGCUGACAUCUUCCAUAAACAUCUGUUCCGAACAGUAGUUUUCAACACCAUCAAGACUAAACUGGUCAUUUGGAGUAUCACCCUCAUUAACCCAUUGUAAGAUGCCUGGCAAAUGAGUGCUUAAAAAGUGGGAACUAUAGGCUUCAUCGCCAUAUGGAGUUGAAGAAGAAAUGUCUGAGAAAUCUUCAAUGGAAACAGAUGAAGUGGAAAACUUGAAACUAUUAACUAGGGCAUCCAUGUCUGCCAAGCCAAACCCUUCAUCUUCAAUUGGUAAACCUAUUGGAUUGUAAGUUGGCCAAGAAGCGUGGAACUCCAUUUGCAUCUUCUUGGAUAGCAAUGUAAAAUGAGAUUGGUGUUCUCUUCCUUGCACAAAGAAGCUCUGCUAUAUAUAGCCAUGAAAAGAAAAUUCAUAAAAAUUCUGCACAUUGUUUUUUUAUAGGUAGGCACUUUCUCAAGACUUCAUCCUAUUGAAGUUCCCUCUAAAUUCCUCCCACUUCUUUGGCAGCUACUGAGGAAGAGUAGCGUUGUGUGUUUAAUCUGAUCCCCAUUCAGAAUAUUGUGAUGGAAUAUAGUCUCUGUCAAAUGUUGUUCAGCUCAAGUCAAAAAGAAAAUUGAAUUUUUAAUGAAGUCCUGUGAUACAAGCUACAUUAUAUCAUACUUUUCAAAACUCCCCUCUAAUGAUAAUUAAAUAAUGGGAUUAGUUUAUCCUCUUACAUCCAAAUCCCUUUCAAAGAAAUUAUAUCAAUUAUGACCUUAACAUUGACGUGUUUGAAAUCAUGCAAACCUAUCCCAUUUACAGAUUAUAGUAAUUAAUGAAUGAUGGUGAAUUUUUUUUUAAUUCACGUCAUAAUCAAUUGUUAUAAGUGUUAUAUGAGAAAUUAAUGGAUAUUUCAAGAUGUGUAUCAAUGUCAAUUUUUUUCAAGAUUUUAUUUAUUUUGUAUUGACGAAAAUAGUUCAAUGACAGAGUAAAUUUAUCAAUUUCUAUAAAUAAUUUAUGCAAUAUCCCAUUAUUAAAUAAUGUAUGUUUUUGGGUGUGUCAUACAAAUGAAAUAUCAUAAGAAAUCUCAUGUCUCUUUAUAAGGACAUAAUUACUCAAAUGGAUAGUGCAAUAAAUAUAAUUAUUUAAUAGAUAUCAGGCUCGUGGUUUUGACGUGAGGGGUAGGAAUGACUAUAUUUUCAGGAGCAAACUCUAGGCGAAUAUGAAGCGUAUGAAUACAAUACCUUGAAAUGAGAAACAAUUCCGAACUAGCUUUGUCUACGAACAAAGAAGCUAUAAGUAAUGCAAUUAUGAAUCUCAUGGAGAGUUCAAUCCCGGCUCAGGAUGAACUCUGGCGGCAUGCUUAACACAUGCAAGUUGGAUGGGAAGUAGUGUUUUUAGUGGCGGACGGGUGAGUAAGGCAUAAGAACCUACCCUUAAAAGGAGAAAACAACGAAUAAUUAUGACCAUUUAUUAAUAACCAAUUGAUAUAAUUUUUGGUUAACUUUUCAUUUGAUACCAUUAAAAUACUCUAUAUAUUUUAAAAAUAUUCCAAAUAUUGAACUGAAUAAAGGUUCCAAAGCCUUGGCUCUUUCCUAUCAAGUAUAUGGUAGUUUUGACUCUAGUUUUUUAAUCUUGCCAGCUAUAUCCUAUGAAUUUUUAUUUUGGAUUAUGAAGAAACGAUCAAACAUUAAGAAACAUCAAAUAAUUUUCCACGAUUUAUGUUUAGAAAUUUCUUUAGGUAACAGGAUAAUUGCGUACCUACCAUCCCUCUUUGUCAUGACAGAUACAGAAGCAAUAAUUUGCAGGUAUCAAUGUUUCAUGAUUGAAGACAAAAAAUGGAUUGUCUUAUGUUAUGGGUUCCUACAAGUUUUCCGAAAAUUUUCACUUCCAUGGCCAUGGGGUGUUACAUGGUCAAACAGCGUUGAAGAUUAGUUAUCUACGCAUCUUCUAACCCGCAUUUGGCUACAAUUCUGGCCUCUACUUGCUGUCGUUUAUGUUAUUCUUUUUACCUAAUGGCCGAUGUUUUAAUGCAGAGUUGAUAUUAACUUGCAUCAAAAAACCACCAUUUUAUUUCACUUCCAUAAGCAAAAAAGCAAUUAAAUCCGAAACCAGCUUGCCAUGCUUUGAAAAAAAAAAGACCAGUUUUCAUCUCUUCACUGUCAAGCAUCCAAAAUUUGGUUUCCUUUUACCAGAGUCAACAACAUGGGAAAGGUUGUUGGGUGUUCAGUUCAGACAAUGGAAUGUCAAGAAUCUGCCGACUGACAACAAAAAUCCAUACACCAGUGGUCGAAAUCAGUUGUAAGCGAAAGUUUUAAAGUAGGAACUUACAAGUUUAGGGAACAAGCUAUAUCCAUAAACACUAUCAACACCAAAUACGACAGAAAAGUGCAAAUACAAUUACAAUCCUAGGCCCAAUUUGCCCGGGGCCCAUUCAAAAUAAGCAGAAAACCAAGAAAAAAUAAUAAAUAAAAUUCAGUCUAAAAAUAGUUCAUUUACAAUUGGCCCAGAUCAAUUUACUCAAAAAUACAGACUCUAACCCCAAAAUAUACCAAGACCCAAAAUACAAACCAAGCCCAUUUAUAAAUGGCCCAGUACAAACCCAAACUCUAGCCUAAACACCUAAUGGCCCAACUCAGCCCAAAUCCCAACCUAAUGGCAGAAACCCUAGCAACGAGCAAGCCCCAGCACCGCAGCAGCCCCAACUCCUCCGCACGUGCCAAGCCUCUGCCCCCACGCAUGCGCCUUUGCCUCCGUACACGCCACGUCCCCAGCCCUGCUCUCCGUACUUGCAAGAGACGAACAAACGAGCAGCAAAAACAGACAACGGUAAAAAAAGGAGCAACAAUGAGGGAUUGACAGCAAAUACUAGCAGUAAAUAGAAAGUGUAAAAUUUUUUAAAAUUUCUUUGUCUCUAUCCGGCUAUAAAAAGGGCCAAUUGAAAUUUGUAAAAGGGGGAGGCAUAUUGAAUACAAGAAAAUAAAAAAAAAUGUUCAGAGAAAACAAAAGCAAAAUUUGAAAGGUGAUUGCAGUGUUCCUUUUUUUGGUUUAUUCUUUUCUAUUUAUUUAUUCGACAAUUAUUCUCUAAAAAAGUAGAGGAAAAGAGAGGGAGAGGAGAACGAGCAAUUGGAGUUGGAUGGAGGUUAGAGGCAUGAAACAGCGCAGAGAUGAGAAGCUUGCUUAGGUUUUGUUUCAAAUGACAAAUUAGGUUUAGUUUAGGUUUUUUAUUUUUAUUUUUUAUGCUGAUAUUGAAACGACGCCGUUUUAGGCCGCGACCCGAUGACCCGACCCAGAUGCGGUUAGAUCCGCAUGUUCUGGCGUAGGGAGGGAUAUUUGCGCGACCAGUCCUUCCCUUUUCUGGUGUUUUGAAUCAAGUGCCUUCUUCUUUUCUAAUUUGGCCCCGUAUUCUGCUUUGGUUUCAUUUCAACCCAGCAUGCAACGCUGCGUUUUGGGGAAGCGGGAUAUUUCCCAAUCGGGCCCCCAUAUAAUACGCGCGUUGUAGUAUGGUCCCUCACUUUUCUUUAAUCUUAGUUGUUCCCUGUUAAUUCGACUUUGUUUGUGAUUUAAUCGUUUUUGUUAUUUGGUUUUUUUUAUUAAGAAAUCUAUUGUUAUUUUAUUAUCAUACUUAUACUUAUUCUUAUUAUUGUAUUAUUAUUAUUUAUUUGUUUUCUACAUAUAUAAUCAACUUUAUAUUUUUAUAGAAAGGUAAUUUCUAAUAAUAAUACUUUAUACUAUUAUAUGUAUAUAAUAUAGAUUUUUCUUACUAUGCGUACAUAUAUAUUUAAUAAUAUAUUAUUGUUUUCAAAGGAUAUUUUUUAUGAAUGAAAACCUUAUUCCUUUUAAAUUUGUUAUCUUAUUCUAUUUGUUUAACUUUUAUAUUUUUAUUAUGUAUAUACUAUUGUUUAUACUAGAUUUUAUUUAUAUAAAUUAAAAUGUAGGCAUUCAUUUUAAGUUAUUCACUUUUAUUUCAUUUUGUUUUUUUUUUUAAAUCUUUUAUUUGUUUCCUUAGUUCUAUUACCAAAUUGUAUCAAAUACUCAUAUUACUUAUUGUUCUUAUUGUCUUUUUCAGUUUUUAAAUGAUUAUGAAUUUAUGAGUUGCUUAAUUUUAAUGUGGAUGCUUGUAUAAUAUGAUUAAAGUCAAUGUUUGUAUUUGCCUAUUAUUUGUUAAAUUGCCUCUAGUUUAAGUUUAAAUUGUUAUUCAUCUUUUACAUCAUAUAUAUUGUUAUUCAAUCAUGUUCUCUGUAAGGACCCAAAAAUUCACGAGCAUCGAAAAAAUAUAAUAUCGGGCCUCUGUCUUAGUAAUUUGAGUUCGAAAAUAAUUAUUAGAAAUAUUUACUAGACUAGUUGUGUGUUUAAUUAGGUUUUAGAUAGGUGAAUUUAGCUUAAUUAAGAGUAAUUAGUAAAAAGGAUUAAAUUAUAAUAGAAGUGAAAUUUUAAUUAUAGAUUAAAAUAAAUUAAAGGAAAAUAAUAGGGACCAAAUGGGCAAUUAAGCCACAUUUGGAGGUUGAGGCAGCAUAAGAUGGUAAAAAUCUUAGAUUUUUUUAUAUUAUUAUUUAUAUAAAUAUAGAAAUUAAUUAUAAAGUAUAUUAUUAAAUUAAUUAUAUUAUAUUAUUAUAUUUUUUAAAAAAAGUUGAUAAAUGUAUGGUGCAUAUGAAGAUAUGUGGAAAAGUGAAAUACAUAUAUUAAUAAUUAUUACAUAUUUACUUAUCAUUUAAGUAAAUAAUAUUAUAUUAUUAUUGUAUUGUUAUUAUAUUAAACUAAUUAAAUAAAAGAUAGAAAAGGAGAAGUAGAAACAGAAUAGGUAAAAAAAAAAAGACACAGAGAAAGACGAAAACAGGGGAGAAAGGAAAGGGAAAGAAAAAUAAAAGGAAAACCUAGGGAUUUGAAGCUUGAAGUUUAAUAGGUAAGCUAAAUCAAGUCCUUUUCUCAUAAAUUUGAUGUUUUUGAAAUCCUAGAGUGAAAUACUCUUGGAUUUAAGUUGAAAAUUUGAAAGAUAAUAGAUUUUUUAGUAGGGUUUAUGUUAAAUAAAUGAUGGAAUUGAGGGUUUAUUUGAUAGAAUUUCUAGUUAGAAUUGAUAAAAGGGGGUUAAAUUGUAAAGUAAGCUAUAAGUUUUGAAUUUUAGGGAUUAAAUUGAAAUAAAUUCGAAAUUAUGAAAAUAUGAUAAAAAUUAGAUAGUUAAAUGUGA
Molecule: long non-coding RNA, 17365 nt
Filed under: Gossypium barbadense (sea-island cotton)
Lineage: Eukaryota; Viridiplantae; Streptophyta; Magnoliopsida; Malvales; Malvaceae
Description: long non-coding RNA (GBAR_LNC018851)
Source: RNAcentral